Molecule: transfer RNA, 77 nt
Filed under: Candidatus Marinamargulisbacteria bacterium SCGC AG-343-D04
Lineage: Bacteria; Bacillati; Candidatus Margulisiibacteriota; Candidatus Marinamargulisbacteria
Description: tRNA-Asp
Rfam family: tRNA
About the family: Transfer RNA (tRNA) molecules are approximately 80 nucleotides in length.
Source: RNAcentral
GGGGGCGUAGUUCAGCUGGUUAGAAUGCUUGCCUGUCACGCAGGAGGUCGAGGGUUCGAGUCCCUUCGUCCCCGCCA